AAUGUUGGGAGAAUAAACGAACAAAAGAAGACCCAAAGCAGAGAAGCCAGCUGCCCUGUAGCUGCCAAUUUCCUCUCAAAAAACCUGCCAAAGCAUUUCAGAGCCUGGCCCAUUCUAGCCCAUAGCUGAGCCCAGAGGGAGUUGGUUCUUGGUUUAAAUGAUGGCAAAGUGGGAAACAGCUCUGACAGACAAACAUGACAACCUGCCCCAUCUGGAUCAGCACUUCUCACAGGCAUUUUAGUCACCGUAACCAUCUCUUUCCACAUCCUGAAGGAGCCAACUCAAAGACAGCAGAGAGGCCUUGCAAAACAGAGCUGAGAUGCAGUUUGAGUGAACUCAUUUUCAUCUGCCUCUGAACUGCAGCCACUACCUACUCCAGACUUUUCCGAGAGUAACAGUCUAUGAAGAGAGAAGGAAUGCCAGGAGGCUUAAGGAAUUGGGAAAGAAAGGUUGGGGAUUCUUGAAAGAACUUCAGUUCAGAAUUGCUUCCAAGCUCUGCCUAGCUCUGGUAAUGUUUUCCUUAUUUGCCUGUGGAAGUGAGAAAAGCUGAAGGCAGAUUUCCUGUCCUAAGGAAGCUAGCUCCAAGACACAGACUUUUCUGCUCAGACAUCAGCUAAAAUUAAACUGUACAUGUUACAGCAUGGAUGAACUUUGAAAAUAUUAUGCUCAGGGAAAGAAGUCAGACACAGAAGGCCACAUUGUGUGAUUCCAUCUAUCUGGAAUGUCGAGAAUAGGCAAAUCCACAGACAGAAGAUAGAUGAGGGGUUAGCAGGGAGCUGGGGGAUGAGGGUAAUGAUGAGUGACCACUAAUGAGUACAGUUUCUUCGGGGGGUAAUGAAAAUAUUCUGGAACUAGACAGUAAUGACAGUUGGUGAGUAUGCCCCAAACCACUGAAUUGUACACUUUAAAUGGUACCACUUUAUAGUAUGAGAAUUAUAUUGUAAUAUUUUUUAAGGGGGGGGGGACCAAACUGCAGUCAGUACCUUGACCUCAGAGAGGAGGCUCCUGCUCUUUAGAGCAGUGGUCCUUCAAACACGGUCCCCAGACCAACAGGAUCAGCAUCACUGAGAAAUUACCAGAAAUGCAAAUACGCAGGCUCCAUCCCAGACCACACAAUUAGAUGGGGCCCUAUAAUCUAUGCUUUGAGAAGCCCUCCGGGUGAACAUCAUGUAUGUUCUCAAGAACCAUUACUUUUCGUGUAAAGGACCAGUUAGUAAAUAUUUUAAGCUCUGCAUGCCACAUACACAGGGUCUCACAUAGUCCUCUUUUUCUUUUUCAUGACCUUUUAAAAAUGUAAAAACCAUUCAGUUCCCAGGCACACCAAAACAGAUAAUAGGAGUUCCCACUGUGGUUCAGCAGAAAUGAACCUGACUAGUGUCCAUGAUGUGGGUUCAAUCCCUGGCCCGGCUUAGUGGGUUGAGGAUCCAGUGCUGCCAUGAGCUAUGGUGUAAGCCAGAACUGGCGUUGCUGUGCCUGUGGCGUAGGCCAGCAGCUGUAGCUCCGAUACUUAGACCCCCAGCCUGGAAACUUCCAUGUGCCGCACCUUCGGCCCUACAAUAAAUAAAUAAAUAAAUUUAAAAAACAGGUAACAGGGAGUUCCUGUCGUGGUGCAGUGGUUAACGAAUCCGACUAGGAACCAUCAGGUUGCGGGUUCGAUCCCUGCCCUUGCUCAGUGGGUUAAGGAUCUGGUGUUGCCGUGAGCUGUGGUGUAGGUUGCAGACGCAGCUCGGAUCCCACAUUGCUGUGGCUCUGGCGGAGGCUGGCGGCUACAGCUCCAAUUCGACCCCUAGCCUGGGAACCUCCAUUUGCCGUGGGAGAGGCCCAAGAAAUGGCAAAAGACAAAAAAAAAAAAAAAAAAAAAAAAAAAAAA
Molecule: long non-coding RNA, 1870 nt
Filed under: Sus scrofa (pig)
Lineage: Eukaryota; Metazoa; Chordata; Mammalia; Artiodactyla; Suidae
Description: lncRNA (ENSSSCG00065004940.1)
Source: RNAcentral